GGGUUGUGAGGUUAAGCGACUAAGCGUACACGGUGGAUGCCUAGGCAGUCAGAGGCGAUGAAGGGCGUGCUAAUCUGCGAUAAGCGUCGGUAAGCUGAUAUGAAGC
RNAcentral lists this ribosomal RNA (106 nucleotides) under Pectobacterium wasabiae. RNAcentral's name for it is "partial 23S ribosomal RNA". It matches the Rfam family "Bacterial large subunit ribosomal RNA", at positions 1 to 97 of the family's 2925-position model. The record is from RNAcentral. Lineage: Bacteria; Pseudomonadati; Pseudomonadota; Gammaproteobacteria; Enterobacterales; Pectobacteriaceae.